RNAcentral lists this non-coding RNA (932 nucleotides) under Colius leucocephalus. RNAcentral describes it as "partial 12S ribosomal RNA". It matches the Rfam family "Bacterial small subunit ribosomal RNA". Lineage: Eukaryota; Metazoa; Chordata; Aves; Coliiformes; Coliidae. The record is from RNAcentral.
AAAGACUUAGUCCUAACCUUACAGUUAGUUCUUACCAGACAUAUACAUGCAAGUAUCCGCACUCCAGUGUAAAUGCCCUAAUCCCUUCACCAAAGACAGAGGAGCUGGUAUCAGGCACACCCAUCGCAGUAGCCCAAAACACCUUGCUUCGCCACACCCCCACGGGUCUUCAGCAGUAAUUGACAUUAAGCAAUAAGUGUAAACUUGACUUAGCCAUGGUAAACAACUAGGGUUGGUAAAUCUUGUGCCAGCCACCGCGGUCAUACAAGAGACCCAAAUUAACUGUACCCGGCGUAAAGAGUGGCACAAUAUUAUCGCACUAACUAAGGCUAAAACAUAACUAAGCUGUCAUAAGCCAAAGUUACUCCCAAACCCACCCUAAAAAUGACCUUAGUAUUCCAGAUCAACUCAUUGCCACGAAAGCUAGGACACAAACUGGGAUUAGAUACCCCACUAUGCCUAGCCAUAAAUCCAGAUUCUCCCUUUACUUGAGCAUCCGCCCGAGAACUACGAGCACAAACGCUUAACACUCUAAGGACUUGGCGGUGCCCCAAACCCACCUAGAGGAGCCUGUUCUAUAAUCGAUAACCCACGAUACACCCAACCACUUCUAGCCAAAACAGCCUAUAUACCGCCGUCGCCAGCUUGCCUCAAUUGAAAGUGCAACAGCAAGCACAAUAGCUAUCCCACCACGCUAAAAAGACAGGUCAAGGUAUAGCCCAUGAAGUGGAAGAAAUGGGCUACAUUCUCUACAAUAGAGUACUAACGAAAAUGGGCAUGAAAUUUCCCCUAGAAGGCGGAUUUAGCAGUAAAAAAAGACAAUAGAGCUUUUUUUAAGAUGGCCCUGGAGCACGUACAUACCGCCCGUCACCCUCCUCAUAUGCUUCCAAUCAAUAAUAAUUAAAACAAAUAUUCCAGCUAUAAGAAGAGGC